Molecule: microRNA, 23 nt
Filed under: Strongyloides ratti
Lineage: Eukaryota; Metazoa; Nematoda; Chromadorea; Rhabditida; Strongyloididae
Description: str-miR-7880x-5p
Source: miRBase by way of RNAcentral
UGGCCUGGAUUCGGUCGCAAAGA